UGCCAAGAAUGUUUUCAUUAAUCAAGAACGAAAGUCGGAGGUUCGAAGACGAUCAGAUACCGUUGUAGUUCCGACCAUAAAUGAUGCCGACUGGUGAUGCGGCGGUGUUAUUCCCAUGACCCGCCGGGCAGCUUCUGGGAAACCAAAGUCUGGGUUCCGGGGGGAGUAUGGUUGCAAAGCUGAAACUUAAAGGAAUUGACGUAAGGGCACCACCAGGAGUGGAGCCUGCGGCUUAAUUUGACUCAACAUGGGAAACCUCGCCCGG
Molecule: non-coding RNA, 265 nt
Filed under: Fukomys damarensis (Damara mole-rat)
Lineage: Eukaryota; Metazoa; Chordata; Mammalia; Rodentia; Bathyergidae
Description: Eukaryotic small subunit ribosomal RNA
Rfam family: Eukaryotic small subunit ribosomal RNA
Source: Rfam by way of RNAcentral